RNAcentral lists this long non-coding RNA (265 nucleotides) under Setaria italica (foxtail millet). Its description in RNAcentral is "long non-coding RNA (SITA_LNC004237)". Lineage: Eukaryota; Viridiplantae; Streptophyta; Magnoliopsida; Poales; Poaceae. The record is from RNAcentral.
AAAUCUAAUUCUCAAAGCAAACUGUACAUUGUGGCUGCGAAUUUAUCAACACUACUAUUAUAGAUAUUCAAUUCGCCGGCAGAUGUGUCCUGAGGGCCAAUUAAUUGUUAAUUAACAAUACCCUUUAUUCGGGGGCUUGUGGCACUGAAACGGAAUCAUCUGAGGUUGGUCCCAAUGUCAGUGAAACAGCACUCCGUGCAGAAUCUAAAACACGGCAGCACUACCAACCCCUCUCCGCCGUCGCCGCCCUCUAUCUCUUUACCCC